CUCUCACUGACUCUAUAUUUUUCUUCUCCCCUGCUCACAGGCUUUUUGAUGAUACUCAGCUUCUUGUAAGCAGUGCUGGUGGUACUUAGGAGCACUUAGCUAAAGCAGUCACUAAAAUUGUCAGUACUAUGCAAACUGAAGCAGAUCAAGUCAAGAAAGGAGCUUUGUCACUUAACUUUGAUGAUGUUGAGGUUUAAGUUAGCUUUUCUAUUCUUUCUUUCUUGCAGUUUAUAUAAUUGUUAUUACUUGAUGGUGUAAGAGAUGUUGCUAAUGCUCUGGUUGAUCUAACUAAUGCCACUCAAGUUGCUUGGGGCAAGAGUGUCAGUCACCCUUUUAUAGAGAACCUUAAAAAAUUGCUAAGGUAAUGGAACAUUUGAAUUCUUAUGCACUUGAUGGAUCUCCCUUCUUCCUCUCCUUUCCUAUGAAAAUGGUUGGUAAAGCUAUAGUCGAUUCUUAAAGACAAUUAAGAAUGUUCAAAAUGAAGCUGCUCAUGCAGGGCAUUUAAUUGCUUGAAAAGACCAUUGACUCCUUUGAAAGUGACCUUAUGGAAUUCCAAUCUUCUAAGCCACCACAAUUAGUUAAAGCUAAAGCUACCCCAGAGAAACUUCUCUAAGUCACCCAAGCCAUUGCUCUUGCCUCCUCAAAAACAGUCACAGCCAGAAACAGCUGCUAGUAGGUUGAUGUAUCAGCAGCUGCUAAUCUCAGAUACCAAGCUGUUCAUGAUCUCCUGUUGAUUAGCAAAGCAGUUGCACAAAACUUUACACAGACUAAAGAACUGGCUGAAAAGUCAUGGCCUGUUUUUAAGAAUAUGCCAUUGCCUAUAAAGCUUUGCUGCAGUUCCUACAUCACAUUGUACUUAAAUCAGAUAACUCCUCCCUUCGUGUUAAGCUCCUCUCAUUCACAAGAGAGGUUGCUAGUGCUGUCAGUGACAUUGUUAAGAUUACCAGUGAGUUUAAGUAAGGAGCUGGUUUCAUUGUUGAUAUGAGUAAUCCUGAGGUCAGAGCUAAACAAGAACUCCUUGCAGCUGCCACCUCUAUUGAAGCUGCGUUGAUGUAUCUUUCAAAAUUGUUAUUGUUUCAUUUCUCACUGAUUCAGACCACUGAUGCUCAUUUGAAUUUUGAUGCUCAGAUCCUUGAGGCUGCCAAGAGCAUUGCAGCUGCCACCAAGAGCCUGGUACAGUCGGCUAUAGACACUCAACGCGGGAACUGACAGAACAAGGGAAAAGUAGAUCUUUCCUUGCCUUGCAGAUAGUCUGUGGUCUGAUGGACUUGUUUCUGCUGCCAAGUUAGUAGCUGAGUUAACCUGUCAGUUAUGUGAAGCAGCUAGUGAUGUGGUUCAAGGUGAAGGUGAUGCACAGGAAGGAAGACUCUUUUGGGGCCUCUAAUGCAGUUGCUGCUACUACUGCACAACUCCUUUAUGCUGUUUAAGUUAUGGCUGAUCCCACUCUGAAAAUAAUAAGAGACUACAAGCAAAGAAUAUGGGAGAGAGAGAUGAAUGGAGAAGAGGGACAGUAAGGAGUGAAUGGAGAUAUACAGGAACACGAAGCUGAUUGUAUUGUUAUUAUUAUUUAUUAUUGAUCAAUAGAGAGCUGGCCAACAAGUCAAGAAGGCUACAGAGACACUUGUCAAAGCAGCAAAAGACUCAGCUGACAAUGCAAUGGAAAGAAAGGUUGAUGCAUUUGAAGAGUUAAUUAGAUAUAGUAAAAAUCCAACUCUAAUCAUGGAAGCUCAAGCACGGAUUGCUGAAAAACAGAGAGAAUUAGAACUGCUCUACCAAGAACUAAUUGGGAUCCAUCAAAAGAAAUGAGUAAUUAAAAACCUUUAAAAACAAUAGUCACUUUUACAACAUUUGUGAUAACUUUGGAAGGCGGAAGACCAUUACGAGAGACUAGAUGAUAAUUAAGGACAAAAAGAGGAGGGAGAGAAGGAGAGACAGA
This is a long non-coding RNA of Amphimedon queenslandica, 1936 nucleotides long. RefSeq lists it as uncharacterized. NCBI's taxonomy places the organism in Eukaryota, Metazoa, Porifera, Demospongiae, Haplosclerida, Niphatidae. The transcript is spliced from 5 exons. The record is from RefSeq and is a predicted model, not a curated record.